UACAGAGGUGGCAAGCGUUGUUCGGAAUUACUGGGCUUAAAGGGCGCGUAGGCGGCUUGCCAAGUCCGGGGUGAAAGCCCCCAGCUCAACUGGGGAAGGGCCUCGGAUACUGGCGAGCUCGAGGGAGGUAGGGGUCGAGGGAACUUCCGGUGGAGCGGUGAAAUGCAUUGAGAUCGGAAAGAACACCAACGGCGAAAGCACUCUGCUGGGCCGACACUGACACUGAGAGACGAAAGCUAGGGGAGCAAAUGGG
RNAcentral lists this ribosomal RNA (253 nucleotides) under uncultured bacterium. RNAcentral describes it as "partial 16S ribosomal RNA". It matches the Rfam family "Bacterial small subunit ribosomal RNA", at positions 524 to 776 of the family's 1533-position model. The record is from RNAcentral.